Molecule: ribosomal RNA, 461 nt
Filed under: uncultured bacterium
Lineage: Bacteria
Description: partial 16S ribosomal RNA
Rfam family: Bacterial small subunit ribosomal RNA
Source: RNAcentral
CCUACGGGGUGCAGCAGUGAGGAAUAUUGGUCAAUGGGCUUACGCCUGAACCAGCCAAGUCGCGUGAGGGAAGACUGCCCUAUGGGUUGUAAACCUCUUUUGUCAGGGAGCAAUUGGCGCUACGUGUAGCGUUAUCGAGAGUACCUGAAGAAAAAGCAUCGGCUAACUCCGUGCCAGCAGCCGCGGUAAUACGGAGGAUGCGAGCGUUAUCCGGAUUUAUUGGGUUUAAAGGGUGCGUAGGCGGAAUGCCAAGUCAGCGGUAAAAUCGCGGGGCUCAACCUCGCUCCGCCGUUGAAACUGGCGGUCUUGAGUGGGGGAGAAGUAUGCGGAAUGCGUGGUGUAGCGGUGAAAUGCAUAGAUAUCACGCAGAACUCCGAUUGCGAAGGCAGCAUACCGGCGCCCAACUGACGCUGAAGCACGAAAGCGUGGGUAUCGAACAGGAUUAGAUACCCCUGGUAGUC